This 4434-nucleotide long non-coding RNA is filed under the name Malus domestica (apple). RNAcentral describes it as "long non-coding RNA (MDOM_LNC007036)". The record is from RNAcentral. Lineage: Eukaryota; Viridiplantae; Streptophyta; Magnoliopsida; Rosales; Rosaceae.
AAUGAAGUAGUUGGGUCCAACGCCCCUAAGACAACACGCCUUAAUGUGAUUAAACGCGUAACUAAAAUCAAUUACCAUCCCUAGACCGAGAUUCAACACAAGGCUCGUGUUGAAUCUAAACAAAGGUUCAUAGUCAUCCUAAGGCCCUAAGGCAACUAUAUAGUCCAUCAAAUAAAUGCAAAGGUUAUGUUAGUAGUAUCAUAUACUCUUACUUUAAAAACCGUUUUAUAAGCAUAGUGGGAGUAUUAUAUACAACUAAAAACAAUCAAAUGGACCAAUAGUUGUAAUAGGACCAAAAUUGUUUUAAUAAGAUUAAAAUGAAUAUUUAUAUGUGAUGAGACCUAAAACCCUCAACCAAACCAUUAUUAAGUUGAUAAGCGUGAGAGUGCUUUGAACACUCUUUCGUGGCCUUCCACCGUGGUGGGCUUCAAUCGUUUGUGACUCAUACACCGUUUUCGUCCAGUUCUGGGGUUGCAAAGUAUGUGCUUACAUUCAGGAGAAGCCUAUACACAUAUGAUGAAGUGAAGGUAGGCAACGAGUGUGGUCAAUAUGAUAUUCUUCUGAGGCCAUUCUUGAACCCCUACCUUAACUAGCAUGGUGGGAAUGACUUAACUAAGUGCAAUGUACCAAUAUGAUAUUCUUCUGAGGUAUCAUUCUCUAGAGGCCAAACAAGAUGGGUACUUGCAAGAGAUGCAAAUGAGUAAGCGUACUCUCUCAUUAUUAUUAACGCUAGCCAAUAUGAUUUUCUUCUGAGGUGGGUUUGGUAAUAGUGAGUCUCCCAUACCCUACUAAGAGUUUCCCCCAAAACUCUCGAAUUCCAAUGAGGGAUAUGGAAUUUGCCAAAAAUAGUGGGUGGUGCUAUUUGAUUUAAAGACCCGGAUCAAAUGGCUUAAAAUCAAUCAAUUUAUAUUCGUUAUGUAUUUGUUUACCAAUAUAUUUGCAAACGCUAUCCAACACUUGACAAAUAAAAGCCGAAAGCUUUAGUUUCCGGACUUGGUACUACAAAACCAUAUAUUGUCUUUAAUGGCUUGUAAAUGUACCUAAGUAGUCUCAUUCUCACAAUCUUCCUAUUGAUAAUGUAUCAUUGGAAGAAAAUGUUAGAUAAGUCUAUCAUAAAGAGGACAACACUUUUAAUGUCAUAAUUCUUCACUUACAAAUCGUUGUAUGAAGAAAUAAGAGUUGCUUUGAACAACCCUUAGUCAAUGCAAACACUUAGUGCUUGUUUCUUUGUUACAUGAACAAGGAACUUUAGAAGAAAGCACAAGGGCAUGGACACUUUAUGUGUCAUGAUUCUUCACUUACAAAUUGUUGUAUGAAGAAAUGAGAGUUGCCUUGAACAACUCUUGAAAGUUUGUAAUUAUGUUUAGAACAUAAUGGUUGGUUGACAAAAAUAGUCCAUUAACAUGGACUUAUGAUGAUUUUGAAUCAUUGAAUGUUGAAGUGUUAAAACCACUUAACAAGACAGAAACUAGGCUAGGACUUCACUUUAUUUCCCUAUCCUAAUGGUUCACUAAGUUUAUUGUAAACUAUAUAGUAACCAAUAUCCACACGCUCUCCAAAUUGUUUAAUGUGUAUAACACAAUUGAAAUAAGUUUCAAGAGAGAUAGUGGGAGUUUAGAGACCAUGACUAAUGUAGUCCAAGGAGAAGUCAAAUGAAGAAGAUAAAAAUUAACUCCAAGGGAACAAACUUUCUUUAUGAAAGGAUGGACAUUGGAAGGGGUAUUUGCAAGAAAUGUCUUGCAAGUGUCAAGAACACACCUUUCGAAGGUGUUGUAAAUUGUUCUUAAAUAGUUCAAAACAGUUGGUUCUUCUACUUGAAUGCUUGAUUCCGUAUUAGCAACUAUGUUUUACAAUCGUUGUAAAAGUUUGACUAAUAAGAAGUAGAAGAUAUAUGAGAGAAGGAAAAAGUGCUUCACAUUCGGAACGUGAAUAAAAUAUAAAUCUCUGCGAAGGCAGAUAGUACUUACUUCCUCAUAUGAACUACCAAAGAAAUUGGAAAAACCAAAAAUUGUCUUUACAUUCCAAUUUUAAGGAAUUUAAUUCCGUCACUAUAGUAGAGAUGGAUGAAUGUUUUGUUUGACAAAACAUUGUUCUUUAUUAAUCAAUGAUUUGAUUAUAGUAAUCUAAUUGAUUGUCUUUAUAGUAGAGAUGAUAUGGUAGUGUUAACUGUUUAGAAUAUAAUGAUGCUUAAAACCCAAAAGGUUGCAAGGUAGUGACUAAUCCCAACUAAAGUUGUGAUACCUCUAAAACAUAAAUUACGAGUUGGUGAAAGAUGGAUACUUUGGAUCGUUAGAUCUGGAUUCAAUACCUUCUUAUUAAAAUUGUAUAGAGGCGAAAUGUUCGAAUCUUUAUUCUUUUGGAAAUAAGAAAGAAUCACAAAGUUGUUGAGGUUAAUUCACUUAGAUGUUAGUGGCACUUGUCCACAACAUAAUACUACUCAUGUUAUAUGACAUUCACCGAAGAUCACUCUCGGUUGGACUAUAGUUUAUUUUGAAUAAACACAAGUCCGAAUACUUUGCAAAAGGUUUCAAAGAAUUCAAGAAAUGUAAGUUGAUGAGUAAGACGUCUAAAGUAUUUACCUCCUUAGAUUUGAUCCAAGGAAUAGUAACACUUUAGAUGAGUUUCCUUGAAAGAUAUCAAGGAAAAUAGCAUCAUAAGAUAAUGAAUUUCUCCAUUAGGAGAAGAACGAACUCGAAUAAGAUUUAGUUCGUUGGAUGUUAUCUAUUACCCAUAUAUAGGAUAUAUACUUCUAAAACAAUAUGAUUGUAAAUUAGAAGAUCCUUCCAAAAUUUUCAUAACUCCAUAAGAUGUAGUUGGAAAGAAAGACAAAUCUUAAGCAUGUUAAGAUUUGGGGUUGUGAGCUAAUAAGCAAUAUUUGUUUGAUAACAAUCUUGUGGGAUAUCCUUAAAUUAACUUUUGGAUAUCGCUUCUAUAAACCAACUAACAAAUGUUGUUUUGUUGGGUAGUUCAUUGUAAUCCUACAAUGUGAUUUGCCUAAGAGCAAAUGAACGAGAGAUAGAACUCAAAGAAUGGGUUCUUUGAGAGACAAGAAAGUAAUCAACAAAUAUAACAACCUAGUUCCUAUACCACAAGCUCCAACGUAGUCGAGAAGGAUUUAUAAACCGUCUCAGUUGAAUGGUUUGAACUUUAUGACUAUGUCAUAGAGUUGCACCUCUUAAUUCGAAAGAAAUAAGAAUGAAAAUCCUUAUGACUAAAUUGAGUGUAUAUAUAUGAUAUAUACUCAAGGAAAUGGUAAAGUACCAUUUGACCCGAAAUAAUGAAACCUUCAUAAGCUAAUUGGUAGCUUAAGGUGACUACAAUCAAAGAGAAUGGUUGACUUUGAAGAAACCAUCUUUGAGAUAGUCUUGGUUUCAAUUAAUUCGAAGAUAGCUAGCUACAACUAAAUGGUGAUUCAAUGUUUGGACAUAAUAUGGGUUUCCGAAACCAUUAUUAAGAUAGUCUUAAUAAUAUAUGUCUAAAACUAUGAAUCACAAGACAUGUAAGUUGUAGAGAUUCAUCCAUCAUGAAUCUUAGCAAGCUAGUGGGAGCUAUAAGCAUCUUGUGAGAAAAAUUAUCAAAUCGUUUGAUUUCUCAUAAAGAUGUAAAUGAAUCUUUUGUUUACUAGGUUUACAAAAGAUUAGUGGGAGUUAAUCAUGUUCCUAAAAUUUAAAUAUAUGAUAUAUUAAUUUUGGAAAAGAAAAGAAUACUUUUUCGUUAAAGUUAUGACUUUAAUACAUUAUAUGAAGAUAGAAUGUAUAAGGGAGUUAAUCAUAUUCCUAAAAUUUAAAUAUAUAUGAUAUAUUAAUUUUGGAAAUGAAAAGAAUACUUCUUCGUUAAAGUUAUGACUUUAAAACAUUAUAUGAAGAUAGAAUGUAUAUGGGAGACAUAGUCUAUAUACAUGGGAUGGAAAUCUAUAAUGAUAGAUUUUAGGAUAUAAUUGGAUUAUAUCAAUCCCUAAUAAUAGACAAAAGAUGCUAGGAAGUUUCUCAUAUGAUGAUAAACUUCAAAUCAAAUGGACAAUUCUAGUAAGACUAAGAAGUUGCUCUUAUCAAAGAGAACGUACUCUUUGACUCCCAUAGAAAUAAUGCGUAAAUAGAAUCCUUUAUGCAUAAGCAGAAAGGUGAUUUAUGUAUUUCAUAUUGAAUGAAAAACGUUGAUAUGAGUUGUACCUAGAACGGUACAAAACGAUAUCAAUGCAAGCCCAGGAUCAGAACCAUGGCAACUGUCAAGUGAAUCCUUAAGUAUUUAAGAAAUACUAAAGGAUAGAUUCCUCAAAGAAUGAGGAAGAAUUAGAGUAACUUAAUGGAAGCGUAAAUGUAUUAGAUUGUGAAUCUAAUCCAUCAUUGGUUGUUUCUUCAUUAUAAAUGAAGAGAUAAACAGAUAUCUCUUUAUUAUGACUAAAGAGAUAUUUGGAUGGAAACAUUAAAGUAAUGA